CAGUCGCCGCGGGAAUACGUAGGGUGCAAGCGUUAAUCGGAAUUACUGGGCGUAAAGCGUGCGCAGGCGGUUAUAUAAGUCAGAUGUGAAAUCCCCGGGCUCAACCUGGGAACUGCAUUUGAGACUGUAUGGCUAGAGUGUGUCAGAGGGGGGUAGAAUUCCACGUGUAGCAGUGAAAUGCGUAGAUAUGUGGAGGAAUACCGAUGGCGAAGGCAGCCCCCUGGGAUAACACUGACGUUCAUGCUCGAAAGCGUGGGUAGCAAACAGGAUUAGAUACCCCUGUAGUCCCUGUCUCUUAUAC
Molecule: ribosomal RNA, 301 nt
Filed under: uncultured bacterium
Lineage: Bacteria
Description: partial 16S ribosomal RNA
Rfam family: Bacterial small subunit ribosomal RNA
Source: RNAcentral